AAAUGCCUGCGGUCGUUCGUUAAGGCCAAAGGUGCCAUUUAAACGCAAACAACUUUACGGCGAGAAAAAAGUGUUAAGUUGAUGAGCAGAAAAUGUUAAAGAAGACUCUUAAUAUUUGAAGUCAACAUAACUCUUUUUAGGACCCGUCGACAGUUUUUUUUCUCUCUCUUUUAACAGAGGCUGAGAAAAGAAUAAAAACCAAAAUCAACACCAAAACCUCUAAAUCUCGUUGGCCGUCAAAGCGUUAAUCAAUAAAAUAAAACCUUAACAAUAACAACCUCCAAGUGUAUUUCAGCCAAAGAAAAGCUUCUCAUCGAAUCCAUUCGCCGUUGAUGCGAUGAAACUAAAUUAAUACGCAAGUAAAACUAUAUCCUGACUCUG
This is a long non-coding RNA of Rhagoletis pomonella (apple maggot), 381 nucleotides long. RefSeq lists it as uncharacterized. Lineage: Eukaryota; Metazoa; Arthropoda; Insecta; Diptera; Tephritidae. The record is from RefSeq and is a predicted model, not a curated record. The transcript has 3 exons.